UGUUCUGUGUAUGAAGAUCAUUUACAUAGAGAGACACUUUGCAUGAGAGUGUUUAUAGUGCUGUGAGUUUAACACUUCAUGACUGAGAGCAGAACAGAACAGAAUCUUCAUCAUCACACAAGGCAAAACAACAACAAUGAACAACAUCAUCAUCCUCAUUUGGACACUCACACUGUUUGCUCAAGAGUGUAGAGGACAGUACACUGUUACUCAGAGUCCAUCAAUAACAGCAGCUCAAGGACAAGAAGUCAGAAUAAACUGUAAAGUCAGCAGUAGAGUGUAUAAUGGUGAUUAUUUAGCCUGGUACUUACAGAAACCUGGAGAAGCUCCUAAACUCCUCAUAUAUCGUACAUCAAGCCGUAACACUGGAACUCCAUCUAGAUUCAGUGGCAGUGGAUCUGACACUGAUUUUACUCUGACCAUCAGUGGAGUCCAGACUGAAGAUACAGGAGAUUAUUACUGUCAGAGUGAACACUGUCCUAGUAGCUGUGUGUUCACACAGUGAUAAAGAGUCGUACAA
Molecule: non-coding RNA, 520 nt
Organism: Labeo rohita (rohu)
Lineage: Eukaryota; Metazoa; Chordata; Actinopteri; Cypriniformes; Cyprinidae
Source: the annotation of a RefSeq genome assembly